This 373-nucleotide transfer-messenger RNA is filed under the name Chitinophagaceae. RNAcentral's name for it is "Ferruginibacter sp017983695 Standard tmRNA". It matches the Rfam family "transfer-messenger RNA". Rfam says of the family: Bacterial tmRNA, also known as 10Sa RNA or SsrA, is named for its dual tRNA and mRNA-like properties. RNAcentral also lists the same sequence under 1 other name. The record is from RNAcentral. Lineage: Bacteria; Pseudomonadati; Bacteroidota; Chitinophagia; Chitinophagales.
GGGGCUGACCGGUUUUGACAGCAUAGUUCUUUGUAAGUGUAAGCAUGUAGUGCGUUGGAUAAUUAGCACUUUAAUCUGAAUAUUCAACAACUUAAAUGGCAAUACUCAGUAUGCCAUGGCUGCUUAAUCGAUAGAUUAGCAUCCAUUAGGGCCGCCGAACAGGUUGACCGGUUACCAUGUUCCGCCGCCGACUCAAAAACAAAACAGGUUGCUGUAAUGGAAUGAAGUGACCAUUGCUUAAGAUCAUUCUUCUACGGAUAUAGUUGGUUGGUUAGGUUCCUGCUUUAUCCCGACAAUUAAUAACUAAAUAAACAUGUAGAAAGCUUACGGCGGAUAUGUUUGGACCAGGGUUCGAUUCCCUGCAGCUCCACUU